GUGGGGAAUCUUGCGCAAUGGGCGAAAGCCUGACGCAGCCAUGCCGCGUGAAUGAUGAAGGUCUUAGGAUUGUAAAAUCCUUUCACCGGUGAAGAUAAUGACUGUAGCCGGAGAAGAAGCCCCGGCUAACUUCGUGCCAGCAGCCGCGGUAAUACGAAGGGGGCUAGCGUUGCUCGGAUUUACUGGGCGUAAAGGGCGCGUAGGCGGACAUUUAAGUCAGGGGUGAAAUCCCGGGGCUCAACCUCGGAACUGCCUUUGAUACUGGGUGUCUUGAGUAUGAGAGAGGUGUGUGGAACUCCGAGUGUAGAGGUGAAAUUCGUAGAUAUUCGGAAGAACACCAGUGGCGAAGGCGACACACUGGCUCAUUACUGACGCUGAGGCGCGAAAGCGUGGGGAGCAAACAGGAUUAGAUACCCUGGUAGUCC
RNAcentral lists this ribosomal RNA (425 nucleotides) under uncultured bacterium. RNAcentral's name for it is "partial 16S ribosomal RNA". It matches the Rfam family "Bacterial small subunit ribosomal RNA", at positions 354 to 796 of the family's 1533-position model. The record is from RNAcentral.